Molecule: ribosomal RNA, 497 nt
Filed under: uncultured bacterium
Lineage: Bacteria
Description: partial 16S ribosomal RNA
Rfam family: Bacterial small subunit ribosomal RNA
Source: RNAcentral
UAUUAACUCUGGCUGCGUGCCUAAUACAUGCAAGUCGAGCGAACGGACGAGAAGCUUGCUUCUCUGAUGUUAGCGGCGGACGGGUGAGUAACACGUGGAUAACCUACCUAUAAGACUGGGAUAACUUCGGGAAACCGGAGCUAAUACCGGAUAAUAUUUUGAACCGCAUGGUUCAAAAGUGAAAGACGGUCUUGCUGUCACUUAUAGAUGGAUCCGCGCUGCAUUAGCUAGUUGGUAAGGUAACGGCUUACCAAGGCAACGAUGCAUAGCCGACCUGAGAGGGUGAUCGGCCACACUGGAACUGAGACACGGUCCAGACUCCUACGGGAGGCAGCAGUAGGGAAUCUUCCGCAAUGGGCGAAAGCCUGACGGAGCAACGCCGCGUGAGUGAUGAAGGUCUUCGGAUCGUAAAACUCUGUUAUUAGGGAAGAACAUAUGUGUAAGUAACUGUGCACAUCUUGACGGUACCUAAUCAGAAAGCCACGGCUAACUACGUG